CUGAGAUGGAGGCAAAGGCUGCCCUCCUGCCUGGCGGAAGGAGACCCGGAGGUGCAGUGCGUGCUGCAGGGCUCUCUGCGGGAGCAGAGGAGGGGGAAUCGAGCGCAGCAUCUGCCUCUCCGUGACCGCUUCCUCGCCCCCGUCUCCUGCACGCAUGCCCCAAUAAAUCACUCGCGCAAGAAGCCCCAGAGUCUCGGGCUCUGUUUCCAGGGAGCCUGAUCUACAGUCGCUGUCACCCCCGUUAUCAUCAGAGAGGACGAACAGACCCAGAGUGGUUGUCUGAGUUACCCAAGACCCAAGUAAAUCUGCCCAGACUGUGAUGAAGAUGAUAAUGCAGCAAGAGCUGAGAUCAUGGAUAAGUCAGUGUGGACUGGAGUUGUCAAGAAAAUCUUCAUGCAGGAGGUUCUACUCUGGAAUAUUGGAGAAAUGCUCCCAGGGGAACCUCGAAUGUGAAGACUCUUUAUACUUUCAGGAGCUCUGGGCUCAGGCAGCAGCAGCCACAACCACCAGCACUGAGGUCUGCCCAGUAAAGCACCAAGACACAAAUGUCAUUUAUCCAAAAACAUUUGUUCCGCAUCUACUGUAUGCUAAGUACUCUCUCAGAAGCUAGAGUAAUGGAGUGGCUUAGGGUUCCCAAAUUCCUCCUUCCCUUGCAGAUCAUAAAUGUGAUUACCUCUUUUGGUCUCCC
RNAcentral lists this long non-coding RNA (688 nucleotides) under Equus asinus (donkey). Its description in RNAcentral is "lncRNA (ENSEASG00005026294.1)". The record is from RNAcentral. Lineage: Eukaryota; Metazoa; Chordata; Mammalia; Perissodactyla; Equidae.